UGCAGAAUCCCGUGAACCAUCGAGUCUUUGAACGCAAGUUGCGCCCGAAGCCUUAAGGCCGAGGGCACGCCUGCCUGGGCGUCA
Molecule: ribosomal RNA, 84 nt
Filed under: Crataegus macracantha
Lineage: Eukaryota; Viridiplantae; Streptophyta; Magnoliopsida; Rosales; Rosaceae
Description: partial 5.8S ribosomal RNA
Rfam family: 5.8S ribosomal RNA
About the family: 5.8S ribosomal RNA (5.8S rRNA) is a component of the large subunit of the eukaryotic ribosome. It is transcribed by RNA polymerase I as part of the 45S precursor that also contains 18S and 28S rRNA. Functionally, it is thought that 5.8S rRNA may be involved in ribosome translocation.
Source: RNAcentral